GCUGGGGCUGAGGAUCAGAUGCCAUGUAGGGUCUGCUCACUCAGUCGCUGGCUCAGGAUUCUGUUUCCCUUUGUCCACAUCACGUGCAUACAACCAAGGGGCCUCUUAGGAAUCCAGGCUCUUGUGCAGAGACUACUGGGCUGGCAUCUCCGCUCUGCCACGCACUGGCCAUGUUAUUAUCUUAGACAAAUUAUCUAUUUACCUCAUGGGGCCGUGAGGCGAGAUGUGUUGUUACCUGCAAAGUGCUGGGAGCUGUACCUGGUACACAGCAAAUGCUUUAUAAAUAUUAGAUGUUACUACUGUCUGGCCCCUGAAGGCAUAUGAGUUUUGAACUUCUGUCCUAGAGCUUUAAUAUCCUACCGUUAUCUACUACGUGCUUUUAUGAUCAAAAAGAAAAUGGCAUAUGGUGAAAGCUAGUCAGAGAGAGCUGGAGAAUUACCAGGCCUCCCGGCCACAAAGGACAAAUAUUGUAUGACUGCGCUUCCCCGAGUUACCCAGAAUAAGCAAAGUCCUAGGGAGAAAGCCGAAUCUCUGUUAGAGGGGCACCGGGGAGGUAGGACAGGGGAUUGACUGGCUCAGGUAAAGGACAGUAGUGUUAGAGUUUCUCUUGGGGAUGAGGAAAAAGUUCUGGAGAUGAAGUGGGGUAAGGAUUGUGCAAAUGAUGUGAAUGUUCUUGAUGUCACUGAAGUAUACAGUUAAAAAUGGUGAAAAUGUAUGGGGCCCCUGGGUGGCUCAGGGGUUGAGCACCUGCCUUCCACUCAGGUCGUGAUCCUGGGGUCCUGGGAUCGAGUCCCACAUGGGGCUCCCCGCAGGGAGCCUGCUUCUCCCUCUGCCUGUGUCUCUGCCUCUCACUCUGGUUCUCUCAUGAAUAAAUAAAUACAAUCUUUUUUUAAAAUGGUGAAAAUGUGAAUUAUGCUAUAUAGAUUUUAGCACGUAUAUUUUUUAAAAUUAAUUAUUAGAGGGAAACCUGGCCAGCUAAGUCGGUGGAACACGUGACUCUUGAUCUUGGGGUUGUGAGUUCGAGCCCCACGGUGGGUGUAGAGAUUACUUAAAAAUAAAAUCUUACAAAAAAUGAAUUAUUAGAGGCUACAUAAUUCAGUCUGCUGCUUUUCACUAGGAUUCAAUCGUUGAUGAUCUCAAGCACCCCAAAUGCACUAUAAGUUCAUGUUCUCAAAAGCCACAUACUGUAUUUCCCAUAAUAGUUUAGGAAGAACAGUAUUAACUAUUUUAACAGCUGUGCUGUACAAGAGUGGGCUUUUUCUCAAUUUGGCGGCCUCAUGGGAAUGCACUAACAGCAAAUACAGGAUGAGGCCGGUGGGACAGACUUUUAAUACCUGCCUACAGCAGUCGGGCUGUUCUUCCUUUAUUAUAAAAUGCUCCACACAGAUGCCUCUGUCUCUCCUUUCUCUCAACAAAUAUACAGAAUGGGAGGCUUCCUGCCAAGCACUAUGUAACUGGCUGCCUUUGAACUAUGGGAUGCUGGGCAACAGUGACAAGAGGUUUUGAUCUCCGUGCCUGUUCUAUUAACAGCAUUCCACACACACACACACACACACACACACACACACACACACACACGACUCCUGCCAGGGUAUAAAUCAACAUGCACACGAGAAUGUCCUAAACCAUUUCAAUCAGGGUCUCAUUUUUAAAUUUCAGCAUGUUGACAUCUGUCCUUCAUUUAAAAAAAAAAAAAGGAUGUAAAAUAUAAGCAAACUUAAAACUCCUUUGAAAAUUGUAUUUAACCUGCGUGCACACACAGUACAUUCAGUAUGUAUUUGUAGUCUUCCAACUCAGAACCACUGCAAAUAGUUAUUUCCUGACAUUUACAGAGCCAUUUCCUAUGAAUUUACAAUCUUGAGUCAAACUGGACCUAGUUCUAAGAAGAAACUGCACUACACUUGGAAAUUUCUUAAAUAAACUGAUACCUUUUGGCACAAAGAUUGUUUGGAAGGAAAGAUCCCUUUAAACAUUACUGAAAAUUCAAACUCAUAGGA
Molecule: long non-coding RNA, 1997 nt
Filed under: Canis lupus familiaris (dog)
Lineage: Eukaryota; Metazoa; Chordata; Mammalia; Carnivora; Canidae
Description: lncRNA (ENSCAFG00000058140.1)
Source: RNAcentral